This is a long non-coding RNA of Mytilus californianus (California mussel), 521 nucleotides long. RefSeq lists it as uncharacterized. The transcript is spliced from 4 exons. The record is from RefSeq and is a predicted model, not a curated record. Lineage: Eukaryota; Metazoa; Mollusca; Bivalvia; Mytilida; Mytilidae.
UAUCAGUCGUUUUUCGAAUCACGCAAUUGAAGCUGUUCUGCUUGUAGAAAGGAUGUUUGGUCUUCAUCAGUUUACGGUUUAAUUAGUGAUUAUAUCCUUACUUGACUCCGUAUCGUCAAGAUACUGCGGCAAUGGUUUGGUAGAACGGAAUGGUAGAUGUUAUUACUUCAGUCGAUUCUCAACUCACUACUUUGCAGCAAUGUACUAUUGCAGACGACUUGGAGGAGCUCUAGUUGAAAUAGAUGGACAAUAUGAAUACUUGACAGUGAUAAACCUCGCAAAAGCCCGAAAUUUUCCUGAUUUCUACAUUGGAUUGACAGAUAUCUAUUCCGAAGGAGUGUGGUUGAAAACUAAAUCACUUGACUUUCAAAUAUUCUUUAGAUGGUCUCCAGGGGAACCCAAUAAUUAUGGUGGCCGACAGGAUUGUGUACAGGUGUACCAUGGGAACUUAAAAAUGGACGAUGCAAGUUGUCGUUCGCACAGGCAUUUUGUUUGUGAAAAAUAAAGCGAAAUAUAGUUUC